RNAcentral lists this ribosomal RNA (700 nucleotides) under uncultured bacterium. RNAcentral's name for it is "bacterial SSU rRNA". It matches the Rfam family "Bacterial small subunit ribosomal RNA", at positions 8 to 737 of the family's 1533-position model. The record is from RNAcentral.
AGAGUUUGAUCAUGGCUCAGCCUGAACGCUGGCGGCGUGGCUAAGACAUGCAAGUCGCACGGUGUAGCAAUACACAGUGGCGAACGGGUGAGUAAUGAAUCGCUAAUGUACCCCGGACUCUGGGAUAGCUACCCGAAAGGGUAGGUAAUACCAGAUGAUAUAUCCGUCCCGCAUGGGAUGGAUCUCAAAGGUCCGCCGGUCUGGGAGCAGGCGAUUUCGUAUCAGCUUGUUGGUGAGGUAACGGCUCACCAAGGCGACGACGCGUAGCCGGACUGAGAGGUUGGCCGGCCACAUUGGGACUGAGACACUGCCCAGACUCCUACGGGGGGCUGCAGUAACGAAUCUUCCGCAAUGCACGAAAGUGUGACGGAGCGACGCCGCGUGUAGGACGAAGCCCUUCGGGGUGUAAACUACUGUCAGGGGAAAGAAAGUUCUGAUCUACCCCAGAGGAAGGGACGGCUAACUCUGUGCCAGCAGCCGCGGUAAGACAGAGGUCCCGAGCGUUAGGCGGAAUCACUGGGCUUAAAGCGUGUGUAGGCGGAUGCCUAAGUACCUUGUGAAAUCCCACGGCUCACCCGUGGAACUGCUCGGUAUACUGGGUGUCUUGAGCCACUUAGGGGCUACCGGAACAAAUGGUGGAGCGGUGAAAUGCGUAGAUAUCAUUUGGAACGCCAAUGGUGAAAACAGGUAGCUGGGAGUG